GGACGAACGCUGGCGGCGUGCCUAAUACAUGCAAGUCGAGCGGACCGGAUGGGAGCUUGCUCCCUUAGGUCAGCGGCGGACGGGUGAGUAACACGUGGGUAACCUGCCUGUAAGACUGGGGAUAACUCCGGGAAACCGGGGGCUAAUACCGGAUGCUUGAUUGAACCGCAUGGUUCAAUCAUAAAAGGUGGCUUUUAGCUACCACUUACAGAUGGACCCGCGGCGCAUUAGCUAGUUGGUGAGGUAACGGCUCACCAAGGCGACGAUGCGUAGCCGACCUGAGAGGGUGAUCGGCCACACUGGGACUGAGACACGGCCCAGACUCCUACGGGAGGCAGCAGUAGGGAAUCUUCCGCAAUGGACGAAAGUCUGACGGAGCAACGCCGCGUGAGUGAUGAAGGUUUUCGGAUCGUAAAACUCUGUUGUUAGGGAAGAACAAGUACCGUUCGAAUAGGGCGGUACCUUGACGGUACCUAACCAGAAAGCCACGGCUAACUACGUGCCAGCAGCCGC
This 513-nucleotide ribosomal RNA is filed under the name uncultured bacterium. RNAcentral describes it as "bacterial SSU rRNA". It matches the Rfam family "Bacterial small subunit ribosomal RNA", at positions 27 to 518 of the family's 1533-position model. The record is from RNAcentral.